UACGGGGGGAGCAAGCGUUGUUCGGAUUUACUGGGCGUAAAGGGCGCGUAGGCGGCCACCGCAAGUCAAUUGUGAAAUCUCCGGGCUUAACUCGGAAAGGUCAACUGAUACUGCGGGGCUAGAGUGCGGAAGGGGCAACUGGAAUUCUCGGUGUAGCGGUGAAAUGCGUAGAUAUCGAGAGGAACACCUGCGGCGAAGGCGGGUUGCUGGGCUGACACUGACGCUGAUGCGCGAAAGCUAGGGGAGCGAACGGG
RNAcentral lists this ribosomal RNA (254 nucleotides) under uncultured bacterium. Its description in RNAcentral is "partial 16S ribosomal RNA". It matches the Rfam family "Bacterial small subunit ribosomal RNA", at positions 524 to 776 of the family's 1533-position model. The record is from RNAcentral.